CAGCCGCCGCGGUAAUACGUAGGUGGCAAGCGUUGUCCGGAAUUAUUGAGCGUAAAGGGCUCGCAGGCGGUUUCUUAAGUCUGAUGUGAAAGCCCCCGGCUCAACCGGGGAGGGUCAUUGGAAACUGGGAAACUUGAGUGCAGAAGAGGAGAGUGGAAUUCCACGUGUGGCGGUGAAAUGCGUAGAGAUGUGGAGGAACACCAGUGGCGAAGGCGACUCUCCGGUCUGUAACUGACGCUGAGGAGCGAAAGCGUGGGGAGCGAACAGGAUUAGAUACCCCCGUAGUCCCUGUCUCUUAUAC
This 301-nucleotide ribosomal RNA is filed under the name uncultured bacterium. Its description in RNAcentral is "partial 16S ribosomal RNA". It matches the Rfam family "Bacterial small subunit ribosomal RNA", at positions 509 to 807 of the family's 1533-position model. The record is from RNAcentral.